Molecule: long non-coding RNA, 1987 nt
Organism: Monomorium pharaonis (pharaoh ant)
Lineage: Eukaryota; Metazoa; Arthropoda; Insecta; Hymenoptera; Formicidae
Exons: 3
Source: RefSeq, a predicted model, not a curated record
UUAUUAUUAUGUGUAAUGUUAGCUUUAUAUAUAAAAAAUAGUAGCAUAAUAGAAGCAUAUAUCAUUUACUUAUUUGUGACAUAACAUGUUGUAUUUAAUAAUGAUUUAUAUCACACGUAGCACAUUUUGCGAAAUAAAAUAACAAUUAUAAUGUGACAUAUCUUGUAAAAUUUAGCGUUGCAAACAUUCAUGGUACUUAUAGUAGCAAUAAUCGAACUGCUACCGGAUAUCCUCAAUUUUCUUCGGCCUCUAAACGAAUCACGUGUACAUUAUUUAGUGUUCAUGACCGGAUAUGGAAUAAAUAAGGGAAUAUUGUUUUAUUCUUUUUUCUUGUAUUCCAUUAUUAGUUUUGCCGUUGGUUCUGCUACAGUAGUAUGGAUCGUUUCGAUGAUACUGUCAAUUAGUUUACACUACUGCGCAUUAUUAAAAAUUUGCGGUUAUAGAAUAAAACAAUUUGUGGACAAGAAGGUAGUAACAUACUCUAACAAAAAAAAAGUAAUCGUCGAAGGAAUAAUUAGAACAGUAGAACUUCAUUGUAAAACAAAGAAGUAAGUAUCUAAAAUCAACGGUAUGACAAAAGUACUAAUUCAUUGUUUUAUAAAAAGUUUCAUUGUUUAAUUGGUACUUUCAAGACUCUUUAAAUUAAUUACUACAAGUUAUACAAUAUAUUUUCUUACUACUAUAAUGGUAGGCACAUGUGGCUUUGCUAUGAGUUUAUACAGAUUACUAUGUGCAUUAACAAACAUGCACGAUUUGGCUGAACUUCUGAUAGCGACCGCUUAUGCUUUGGGAUAUAAGAUUUAUCUGUUACUCGUGUCUUUUCUAGGACAAGUAAUGAUAAACCAUUCUGAAGAAUUAUUCAAUACACUGUGAGUAGCAACUUUAAUUUCAAAAUUAUGUUUAAAUAGAUUGAUAAAAUCUGUACUUAUAUGUUUAGAAUAGUUGGUAAAUAUUCACAAAAGAUCAGUCCUUAUAACAGGUCAAUGACAUAUGUUAUCAAGAUCAUCCUCCUGAGUGACAUAAAGCAGGUUUUAGCCUCAUGUUUUCACGCUCAUGCUUUGUUAAAAUGUAAUAAUCAAAAAUUUUAAUAAAUAAGAUAUAUAUUUUCAAAAAAGAAUUUAUGUAAAUAAUAAUAAUAAAAAUAUUGUUUUGCGUAGACUAGUAUAAAUAUGGACGGAGAAAAGGCUGCGCCCCUCUCCUUACACCCUUAUUCCAAAAUUUUUCCUAAUUUAACCAACUCAAUUUUAACCGCAAUUUGACCACAAUUUCAAAAAUAAAAUCGUAACGCAAAAAUAAAAUCCACACGAAGCGAUAUUCACUCCCAUCCCUUUGGUGCUUACGGCCCAAAACUACGUCAACAAUUGUUCUGCUUCAUAUGGAUUUUCGACUUUCCACGCCAAGUGGCCAAGAUCCGCAUCCAUUCCUUCGGUGCUUACAACAUAGAACUGUCAAUAAUUGUUUUGUCUCACGUGGAUUUUCGAUUUUUCAUACAAUACGAAAUUUUUUUUAUUAAUAACUUUUGUUAAAUAUUCAUAUAUUUACCUUAUAUAAUACACAAAAUUUUCUAAAGUUCUGUCUGUGUAGCCCCUUCUUUCCGAUUUUAAUUAAUUUUUACAAGCAUGUAAUACGUAUUAAGUAAAAACAAAUAGUAUAUACAAAUGCAUCUUGCGGAAACGAUUAAUUCAUAAGAUAUAUAAUUUUUUGUUACUUCGUUGGUUUUUAUUUAUUUUUGGGAGAAAAGGUGGUAUAUACAUAAAAUCGAUCUUUUGAAUAGAGUUAUAUAAGUCGGUGUAGAAUAUUAAUGUAUUUCUUUGAUCUCUGUUAAUCUUUUCGAAUUUAUUUCUAGCAUAUGAUACACUCAUCAAAAGAUAAAAAAUUUAAUUCGCGGUUUAAUUAUAUAUAUAUAUAUAUAUAUAUACAAUUUAAACAAAUUACGAAAAUGUCAUAAUACAUUAAAAAUAAUAGCAGCAAUAAAUUCUAAGGAAAA